RNAcentral lists this small RNA (74 nucleotides) under Burkholderiales bacterium PBB2. Its description in RNAcentral is "sX9 sRNA". It matches the Rfam family "Xanthomonas sRNA sX9". Lineage: Bacteria; Pseudomonadati; Pseudomonadota; Betaproteobacteria; Burkholderiales. The record is from RNAcentral.
ACGACCCUCAAGGUCGUUCCGGUUCCUGCGCUCCGUCCGCCUCGCCUGACGCUCGCUCGCUACGCCCCGCAACA